This 399-nucleotide ribosomal RNA is filed under the name Amphorides quadrilineata. RNAcentral describes it as "partial small subunit ribosomal RNA". It matches the Rfam family "Eukaryotic small subunit ribosomal RNA", at positions 30 to 432 of the family's 1831-position model. The record is from RNAcentral. Lineage: Eukaryota; Ciliophora; Spirotrichea; Tintinnida; Tintinnidae.
GCUUGUCUCAAAGAUUAAGCCAUGCAUGUCUAAGUAUAAGCACCCUUAUACUGCGAAACUGCGUACAGCUCAUUAUAUCAGCAAUUAUUUAUUUGAAGGUCACCUAUUACAUGGAUAACCGUGGUAAUUCUAGAGCUAAUACAUGCGAAAAGUCGGCGCAAGUCGAUGUAUUUAUUAGAUACAGAACCAACCCAGGCUCUGCCUGGUCUUGUGGUGAUUCAUAAUAACCGAACGAAUCGUAUGGCAUCAGCUGGCGAUGAAUCAUUCAAGUUUCUGACCUAUCAGCUUCCGACGGUAGGGUAUUGGCCUACCGUGGCAAUGACGGGUAACGGAGAAUUAGGGUUCGAUUCCGGAGAGGGAGCCUGAGAAACGGCUACCACAUCUAAGGAAGGCAGCAGG